UACAGUUUUUUUUUUUUCAUAUGCAUGUAUUUGCUGGGGAAAAUCUGUAUGAUAGAGGGAGUGGGUGAGGCAGUCAGGUACCAAGGAAGGCCCCUCACAUGGUGUGUUGGUCCCCCUUUCCCAGCAGGCAGGGGCUCCUGCGAGAGGGGGCUCUGUCAGCCUCUGUGUUACAUCACAGGCCUCGUGCUGUGCUGUGGAUGUCAGGAAAGAGUUAGUGGGGUCAGGGCCCAUCUGGGUUUCCUGUUCUUGGGUAUGAGGUACAGUGAUUUCCCAGAAUUACCUCUGCCUGUGGCAUCCCCCAUGAGAAUCCAUCAUGAAGAGCUGGCUGUGUGUGCGGCCAUGGUGGAUGCCUUUCCUGGAGCACAUGGAUAGGACGGAGUGUGCUGUGGGCAAGUCUAGCCCCCUCCUGCCCUGCAGCUCCUUAGCCAUCCCUAAUGGGAUUCUUCUUAGUCAAUCUCAGAAGUCACCAGUUUAAGCAGCUGUCCUGUGUACCGUCUGCUCCCCUGUUAAGAGCCAGAUGUCACCAUUCUGUUUCAGGGAGCCAUGCUCAUUGGUCCUCCUGGUACCGGCAAGACCCUUCUUGCCAAAGCAACUGCAGGGGAGGCCACUGUGCCCUUCAUCACUGUGAACGGGUCUGAGUUCCUGGAAAUGUUUGUUGGCGUUGGGCCAGCAAGGGGUGCAACUCUGCCACCAACGUCGUGACGUUGGCUGGCACCAAAUGCCCUGGCAUCCUGGACCCGGCCCUGAUGCGGCCUGGCCGGUUUGAUCGCCAGAUUUACAUUGGUCCCCCUGACAUCAAAGGCAGGGUCCUCCAUCUUUAAGGUCCACCUACGCCCACUGAAGCUGGACGAGAGCCUCAAUAAGGAUGUCCUGGCGAGGAAGCUGGCAGCGCUCACCCCAGGCUUCACUGAGGGGGAUGACUCAGCAGGGCUGACUCAGCACUACCCCUCAACAGAGAUGACUUAGCUUUGCCCCUCAGCAGGGAUGACUCUGAUGACUCUGCCCCUCAGCAGGGAUUACUAAGCACUACCUUUUAACAGGGAUGGCUCAGCACUGCCCCCCGACAGAGAUGACUGAGCAGGGAUGACUCAGCACUGCACUCCAACUGAGAGGACUCAGCAGGGAUGACUCAGCACUGCCCCCCAACGGAGAUGACUCAACAGGGAUGACUCAAUGCUGCUCCUCAGCAGGGAUGACUUAGCAGGGAUGACUCAGCACUGCCCCCAACGGAGAUGACUCAACAGGAUGAUCAUGCUGCUCCAGCAGGGAUGACUUAGCAGGGAUGACUCAGCACUGCCCCUAACGGAGAUGACUCAGCAGGGAUGACUCAGCACUGCCCCCAACGGGGAUGACUCAGCAGGGAUGAUUCAGCAGAGAUGACUCAGUACUGCCCCUCAGCAGGGAUGACUCAGCAGGGAUGACCAGUAUUGCCCCUGAAUGGGGAUGACUCAGCAGGAAUGAUGCAGCAGGGAUGACUCAGCACUGCCCCUCAGCCAGGAUGACUCAGCAGGGAUGACUCAGCACUGCCCCUCAGCCAGGAUGACUCAGCAGGGAUGGCUCAGCACUGCCCCUCAGCAGGGAUGGCUCAGCACUGCCCCGCAGCAGGGAUGACUCAGCAGGGAUGGCUCAGUACUGCCUCUCAGCAGGGAUGACUAAGCAGGAAUGACUCAGCAGGGAUGACUUAGCACUAACCCCAACGGAGAUGACUCAGCAGAGGUGGCUCAGCAGGGAUGACUCAGCACUGCUCCUCAGCAGGGAUGACUCAGCAGGGAUGACUCAGGACUGCCCCCCCAACAGUGAUGACUCAGGAGGGAUCACUCAGCACUGCCCCCAACAGGUAUGGCUCAGCAGGGAUGACUCAGCACUGCCCCCCCAACGGUGAUGACUCAGCAGGGAUGACUCAGCACUGCCCCCCAACAGGUAUGGCUCAGCAGGGAUGACUCACCACUGCCCCCAACAGGGAUAACUCAGCAGGGAUGACUCAGCACUGCCCCCAACGUGGAUGGCUCAGGAGGGAUGACUCAGCACUGCCACCAACAGGGAUGGCUCAGCAGGGAUGACUCAUUACCGCCCCCCCACGGGGAUGACUCAGCAGGGAUGACUCAGCACUGCCACUCAACAGGGGUAGCUCAGUAGGGAUGACUCAGCACUGCCCCCCAAUGGGGUUGACUCAGCAGGGAUGACUCAGCACUGCCAACUGCCCCCCAACGGGGAUGACUCAGCAGGGAUGACUCAGCACUGCACUCAACAGGGGUGGCUCAGCAGGGAUGACUCAGCACUGCCCCCAACGGGGAUGACUCAGCAGGGAUGACUCGUCACUGCCCCCAACGGGGAUGACUCAGCACUGCCCCUCUACAGGGAUGACUCAGCAGGGAUGACUCAGCACUGCCCCUCAGCAGGGAUGACUCAGCAGUGAUAACUCAGCACUGCCCCUCAGCAAGGAUGACUCAGCAGGGAUGAUUCAGCAGAGAUAACUUGGGGAUGACUCUGACUGCCCCUCAGCAUGGAUGAGUCUGUUUUGCUCCAAUGGAAGCAUCCAUAGUGUCCAUCAGCAGGUGAAUGGCUAAAGUGGUAUAUACUGUAGUCAAAUUCUGCUAUAAAAAGGAAUAAAGUAUUGAUGCAUGCCACAACAUGGGUGAACCUGGAAAAUACUGUUCUAAAUGCAAGAGGCCAGGAACAAAAGGCCACAUAAUAUAUGUUCCCAUUUAUGUGAAAUGUGCAGAAUAAUAAUAAAAAUGUAUAGAAUAGCAAAUCUGUAGGGACAGACAUGAAGUGAGUGGUUGCCAGAAGUGGAAAUGAGAGUUAACUAUAAAUAGCAUAGGGUACCUUACAGAGAUGAUGGAAAUGUCCUAAAACUAGAUUAUGGCAAUGGUUGCACCACAUGAUCCGUUUAUUAAAAAUCGUUGAUGUGUGUGUGUAAAAUGGAUGGAUUUUAUGAUUUAUAAAUUAUACCUUAAUAAAGGUUAAC
RNAcentral lists this small RNA (2968 nucleotides) under Pongo abelii (Sumatran orangutan). Its description in RNAcentral is "retained intron". The record is from RNAcentral. Lineage: Eukaryota; Metazoa; Chordata; Mammalia; Primates; Hominidae.